GGCGGUUCUCAGGUAAUACACCCCAGAAUCAGGCUCCCUCCUCUCUGGUUCCAGGUGCCUGACCCAAGAACCACA
Non-coding RNA from Myotis brandtii (Brandt's bat), 75 nucleotides. The record is from Rfam. Lineage: Eukaryota; Metazoa; Chordata; Mammalia; Chiroptera; Vespertilionidae.